GGGGUGUGUGUGUGUGUGUGUGUGUGUGUGUGUGUCUCUCCAAGGGAAGGGGCGUAUGCAUGAAAGAGAGCACCAUUUUAAGACAAAAUCACUUCAGAGAAAACAGUCAACUUUAGAUCACCAUAAAGU
Thalassophryne amazonica is the source of this 129-nucleotide long non-coding RNA. RefSeq lists it as uncharacterized. Lineage: Eukaryota; Metazoa; Chordata; Actinopteri; Batrachoidiformes; Batrachoididae. The record is from RefSeq and is a predicted model, not a curated record. The transcript is spliced from 3 exons.